GGUAGUAUUAACAACAUUAAACCUCUAAAACUUGGCGGUUACAAUAUUUUAAAGAAACUCGUUUUUUAAUCGAUACUACCCGAUAAUUUUUACUUAAUCAAUUUAUAUACCGCCGUUUCAGAACCUUUAAAAAUAAAAUUUCAAAAUCAAUAAUCUAUAAAAAUCAGGUCAAGGUGUAAUUUAUAUUUAAGAAAAAAUAAGUUACAAAUAAUUCUCGAAUUAAGGAUUUAAUUUUAAAACUUAAAGGAAAAAGAAUUUAAAAUUAAUUUUGAUCUAAAAAAUCAAUAAGAAAUUAAUUAUUGUAAUGC
This 308-nucleotide ribosomal RNA is filed under the name Carapoia marceloi. RNAcentral's name for it is "partial 12S ribosomal RNA". The record is from RNAcentral. Lineage: Eukaryota; Metazoa; Arthropoda; Arachnida; Araneae; Pholcidae.